GCCCUUGUAGCUCAGAUGGUUAGAGCCGUGGACUCAUAAUCCAUUGGUCGUUGGUUCAAGUCCAACCAGGGGCA
RNAcentral lists this transfer RNA (74 nucleotides) under Spirochaetota bacterium. RNAcentral's name for it is "Spirochaetes bacterium tRNA-Met". It matches the Rfam family "tRNA". From Rfam's summary of the family: Transfer RNA (tRNA) molecules are approximately 80 nucleotides in length. Their secondary structure includes four short double-helical elements and three loops (D, anti-codon, and T loops). Further hydrogen bonds mediate the characteristic L-shaped molecular structure. tRNAs have two regions of fundamental functional importance: the anti-codon, which is responsible for specific mRNA codon recognition, and the 3' end, to which the tRNAs corresponding amino acid is attached (by aminoacyl-tRNA synthetases). tRNAs cope with the degeneracy of the genetic code in two manners: having more than one tRNA (with a specific anti-codon) for a particular amino acid; and 'wobble' base-pairing, i.e. permitting non-standard base-pairing at the 3rd anti-codon position. The record is from RNAcentral. Lineage: Bacteria; Pseudomonadati; Spirochaetota.